This 465-nucleotide ribosomal RNA is filed under the name Vreelandella stevensii. RNAcentral's name for it is "partial 16S ribosomal RNA". It matches the Rfam family "Bacterial small subunit ribosomal RNA", at positions 338 to 795 of the family's 1533-position model. Lineage: Bacteria; Pseudomonadati; Pseudomonadota; Gammaproteobacteria; Oceanospirillales; Halomonadaceae. The record is from RNAcentral.
CCUACGGGAGGCUGCAGUGGGGAAUAUUGGACAAUGGGGGGAACCCUGAUCCAGCCAUGCCGCGUGUGUGAAGACGGCCCUCGGGUUGUAAAGCACUUUCAGUGAGGAAGAACGCCUGGUGGUUAAUACCCAUCAGGAAAGACAUCACUCACAGAAGAAGCUCCGGCUAACUCCGUGCCAGCAGCCGCGGUAAUACGGAGGGUGCGAGCGUUAAUCGGAAUUACUGGGCGUAAAGCGCGCGUAGGUGGCUUGAUAAGCCGGUUGUGAAAGCCCCGGGCUCAACCUGGGAACGGCAUCCGGAACUGUCAAGCUAGAGUGCAGGAGAGGAAGGUAGAAUUCCCGGUGGAGAGGUGAAAUGCGUAGAGAUCGGGAGGAAUACCAGUGGCGAAGGCGGCCUUCUGGACUGACACUGACACUGAGGUGUGAAAGCGUGGGUAGCAAACAGGAUUAGAUACCCGAGUAGUC